UGCCAGCAGCCGCGGUAAUACGUAUGUCUCAAGCGUUACCCGGAAUCACUGGGUGUAAAGGGUUCGUAGGCGGUUAAAUAAGUUGGAUAUGAAAGACCGGGGCUCAACCCCGCGUUGGUGUUCAAAACUGUUUAACUAGAAUCAGGGAGAGGUAAGUGGAAUUCUGUGUGUAGGGGUGCAAUCCGUAGAUACACAGAGGAACACCAAAAGCGAAGGCAACUUACUGGAACUGUAUUGACGCUCAUGAACGAAAGCGUGGGUAGCGAAAAGGAUUAGAUA
This 279-nucleotide ribosomal RNA is filed under the name uncultured bacterium. RNAcentral describes it as "partial 16S ribosomal RNA". It matches the Rfam family "Bacterial small subunit ribosomal RNA", at positions 506 to 784 of the family's 1533-position model. The record is from RNAcentral.